This 1424-nucleotide long non-coding RNA is filed under the name Marmota monax (woodchuck). The record is from RNAcentral. Lineage: Eukaryota; Metazoa; Chordata; Mammalia; Rodentia; Sciuridae.
GUACUUUUAAAAAUUGUAAUUGUGAAUGCUUAUUAAUUGUACAAAUGAACGGUUCCACUGACAUUUCCAUACAGGCACACAUUGUGCUUUGAUCACACCCACUUUCCCUUCUCUCUGCUUCCCCUUCUGCCUCCCCACUGUCCCUAGUCCCCUUCCCGUCUCCAGAAAGUCCCUUUUCCACUCUCAGAUCUUCUUGUUUCCUUUUAUCCCCCGCCCCCCCACUUUCCAUGUAUGAGAGAAAGUAUGCAAUACUUAUCUUUCUGUGUCAGGGUUAUUUCAGUUAACACAAUGUUGCUGUGGUUCUAUAUAUUUUCCUGAAAAUGACAUGAUUUUAGUCAUCUUUAUGGCUGAAUAAUGCCCAUUUUUUGUGUGUGUAUGUGUGUGUGUACACCAUAUUUUCUUUUUCCAUUUAUCUGUUGAUGAUCACCUAGACUGAUUGCAUAUCUGAUAAAAGUUUCUUCUCAGAAAUACCUGUAAACCCCUGUUUAUUGUGAAUAGUGCCACAAUAAACAUGGGUUUACAGGUAUCUCUUUUGUAUGCUGACUUCACUUUCUUCAGGUAUAUACCCAGAAGUGGUUUAGUUGGUUUAUAUUUAUCUCAUCUUAGUUUUUUGAGGAAUCUUCAUACUCUUUCCAAAGUGACUGUGCUAAUUUACAUUCCCACCAACAGUGUAUAAGGGUUCCUUUAUCUCCAUAUCCUCUCCAAUGUUUUUUUUAUUUUGUUGAUAGCAGCCAUUCCAAGAUGGAAUUUCAAUGUAGUAUAGAUUUGUAUUUUCUCAUUAGCUAAAGAUGUUGAGCUUUUUUUUUUUUUUUCAUAUUUUUGUUGGCCAUUUGUUUGAGAGGACAACAUAUAGAAUGGAAGAUCUUUGCCAGCUAUUCAUCUAACAAAGGAUUAAUAACCAGAAUAUAUAAAGAACUCAAAGAAUGUAAAAACAGAAUAACAUAAUUUCAAUCAAUGGACAAGGGACUUGAUACUUCUUGGAAUACUUUUUAGUGAUUCAAGGGUAACAGGAAAAACUUAUAAGUUGUACACAAAAAUAGAUCAACUUGGCAACACAAGCCAUAAUUUUUGUUGGUCUCUAGUUUGACAUACUACAUUCAUUUAAAAGUUGUUAAUAUAUUACACUCAGCUUAUAUGUUCAAAAAUAAUAUUUCCAACCCAAACAUUUUAUAAAAUGAGAUAAUCUGCAUUUUUUUUCUACAAAGACUUUGGACUUGAAUGUGUAUAUUACAUAACUGCAUCUUAAUUCCCACCAGACGUAAUCUGCACGAUAGACGCUUGUGGCUGAUGGCUACCAUCUUGCUAAAGGCCUUAUAGACACUGCCAUAGUCUUUUGUGGCAAAUAUUGUCAACAUCAUACUGAGCUCUUCAAAGUUAAACCUUCAGGACAUCAUUCUAGAAUUUAUUAAUGGAGGAUCCAGGAC